AUUGAACGCUGGCGGCAGGCCUAACACAUGCAAGUCGAACGGUAACAGGAAACAGCUUGCUGUUUCGCUGACGAGUGGCGGACGGGUGAGUAAUGUCUGGGAAACUGCCUGAUGGAGGGGGAUAACUACUGGAAACGGUAGCUAAUACCGCAUAACGUCGCAAGACCAAAGAGGGGGACCUUCGGGCCUCUUGCCAUCGGAUGUGCCCAGAUGGGAUUAGCUAGUAGGUGGGGUAACGGCUCACCUAGGCGACGAUCCCUAGCUGGUCUGAGAGGAUGACCAGCCCCACUGGGACUGAGACACGGGCCAGACUCCUACGGGAGGCAGCAGUGGGGAAUAUUGCACAAUGGGCGCAAGCCUGAUGCAGCCAUGCCGCGUGUAUGAAGAAGGCCUUCGGGUUGUAAAGUACUUUCAGCGGGGAUGAAGGGAGUAAAGUUAAUACCUUUGCUCAUUGACGUUACCCGCAGAAGAAGCACCGGCUAACUCCGUG
RNAcentral lists this ribosomal RNA (490 nucleotides) under uncultured bacterium. RNAcentral describes it as "partial 16S ribosomal RNA". It matches the Rfam family "Bacterial small subunit ribosomal RNA", at positions 30 to 507 of the family's 1533-position model. The record is from RNAcentral.